GGCAAAUCUCAACUUUAUUAGAAGAGACGCAUUUAUUAGAUAAAAAGCCAAUGCAUGCUUUUACAGUAAUGGAAAUUGGUGAUUUAUAAUAACUUGGCAAUAUCGCAAAGUGAAAACAGGCGAUAAAUCAUGUCAAGUCUUCUCGACCUAUCAGCUUUCGACGGUAUGGUAUUGGCUUACCGUGGCAGUGACGGUUAACGGGGGAUUAGGGUUCGAUUCCGGAGAGGGAGCCUGAGAAACGGCUACCACAUCUAAGGAAGGCAGCAGGCGCGCAAAUUACCCAAUUCUAACAGUUUGAGAGAGGUAGUAACAAGAAAUAACAAUACAAGGCAAUUAAAAUGCUUUGUAAUUGGAAUGAUAGAAAUUUAAACCCUUUUUAAAGUAUCAAUUGGAGGGCAAGUCUGGUGCCAGCAGCCGCGGUAAUUCCAGCUCCAAUAGCGUAUAUUAAAAUUGUUGCAGUUAAAAAGCUCGUAGUUGAAGUUCUGCUAAAAGUAACCGGUCUGCUUUUAAUAAAAGUGGUAUCUUGGUGUGUAUUUAGCAAUGAUGUCCUUUGAAUGUGUUUUUUACUUUAUUGUAAUAAAGCAUAUUCAGGACUUUUACUUUGAGAAAAUUAGAGUGUUUCUAGCAGGCCGACGCUUUGAAUACUGCAGCAUGGAAU
RNAcentral lists this ribosomal RNA (658 nucleotides) under Hepatozoon canis. Its description in RNAcentral is "SSU rRNA". It matches the Rfam family "Eukaryotic small subunit ribosomal RNA", at positions 174 to 815 of the family's 1831-position model. Lineage: Eukaryota; Apicomplexa; Hepatozoidae. The record is from RNAcentral.